RNAcentral lists this unclassified non-coding RNA (250 nucleotides) under plant metagenome. RNAcentral's name for it is "partial contains small subunit ribosomal RNA, internal transcribed spacer 1, and 5.8S ribosomal RNA". The record is from RNAcentral.
GUAGGUGAACCUGCGGAAGGAUCAUCAUUAAAUCCAAUUUAUUCACCCUUGUGAACUGUGUGCUAGGAUUGUGCGAUUUUCGCGCGAUUCCUCAUGACGCUUCAUAGUCGUAGUUGUGUGAGGGGAUGUACUACGAAUGUGCUUGAGUUUUGAGCAACGAAUGGUGGUGGUGGUUCCAUGAGAGUUCUCAUUGUAUUGCCGCCGCCAUUUAGCUUGAAACUUUAAAUGCGUUUAUAGUCUCUGCUCAUUU